This 383-nucleotide ribosomal RNA is filed under the name uncultured eukaryote. Its description in RNAcentral is "partial 18S ribosomal RNA". It matches the Rfam family "Eukaryotic small subunit ribosomal RNA", at positions 592 to 976 of the family's 1831-position model. The record is from RNAcentral.
CAAUAGCGUAUAUUAAAGUUGUUGCAGUUAAAAAGCUCGUAGUUGGAUUUCUGGUAGGAGUGACCGUUCCGAACUUGAUUGUUCGUGUAUUGUGUUUUCUCCAGCCAUCCUUGUGGAGAACUUUUCUUGCAUUAAUUUGUAGGGAUUGGAAUCCGCAUCGUUUACUGUGAAAAAAUUAGAGUGUUUAAAGCAGGCAAUCGCUUGAAUACAUUAGCAUGGAAUAAUAAGAUAGGACUUUGGUACUAUUUUGUUGGUUUGCAUACCAAAUUAAUGAUCAACAGGAACAGUUUGAGGAUAUUCGUAUGAACAUGUCAGAGGUGAAAUUCUUGGAUUUUGAUCAGACGAACUACUGCGAAANCANNNAUCAAGGAUGUUUUCAUNAA